ACACGUAUGAAAGUCAAGCUGAAAGACUUUACUCAAUGAUGUAAGUGGUGGUGCAUGGUCGUUCUUAGUUCGUGGAUUGAUUUGUCUGGUCUAUUCCGAUAACGAGCGAGACCCCAACGUUCCUAAUAGGGGUGGCAGCCCGCUGGCCGAAAGGUUAGUAGCCGCCGCCUGAGAUUUGCUUCUUAGACGUAUCAGAAUCGAUAAGGUUCUUGAAAUGGGUCAAUAACAGGUCAGUCAUGCCCUUAGAUGUUCUGGGCCGCACGCGCGUUACAAUGGCAUGUAUAGAACGUGCUUCUCAAAGGCGUUUCCGGGGCCGAAAGGCUCUGGUAACCCUUAGUCCCUGCUUUGACUGGGACAGAUCUUUGCAAUUAUUGGUCUCUAACGAGGAAUUUUUAGUAAUCGUAGGUCAUUAACCUGCGAUGA
Molecule: ribosomal RNA, 423 nt
Filed under: Physarum bogoriense
Lineage: Eukaryota; Evosea; Eumycetozoa; Physariida; Physaraceae
Description: SSU rRNA
Rfam family: Eukaryotic small subunit ribosomal RNA
Source: RNAcentral